This 253-nucleotide ribosomal RNA is filed under the name uncultured bacterium. RNAcentral describes it as "partial 16S ribosomal RNA". It matches the Rfam family "Bacterial small subunit ribosomal RNA", at positions 524 to 776 of the family's 1533-position model. The record is from RNAcentral.
UACGAAGGGGGCUAGCGUUGUUCGGAAUUACUGGGCGUAAAGGGCUCGUAGGCGGCCAACGAAGUCAGACGUGAAAUCCCUCGGCUCAACCGGGGAACUGCGUCUGAUACUGGAUGGCUUGAAUCCGGAAGAGGGAUGCGGGAUUCCAGGUGUAGCGGUGAAAUGCGUAGAUAUCAGGAGGAACACCGGUGGCGAAGGCGGGUCUCUGGGCCGAUACUGACGCUGAGGAGCGAAAGCGUGGGGAGCGAACAGG